AUGAUCACCGAAGCUGAAAACUACCGUGUUGCAGAUGAACAAUUUCUGAAAAAGGCCAAAGAAUUGUGUGGGAUUUUGGAUCGAACUCUAGUUGGUCGAAAUUACUGUGUUUACAAGAUGAAGAAUGCUUUAGAGAAGAAGGAUAUGAAACUAAAGCUGUCUUCACAAGAAAUUGAGAAGAUCAAUUCUGCAAUUAGUAAGGCCACACAUUUGCUUGAUAUUAACCAGCAGAGUGAAAUAAGUGUUCUUGAAAAUCAUCGGAAUGAGUUUGAGAGUCUGUUGCGGUUGGUUAUAGGCAAAUCUGUCUAG
This is a non-coding RNA of Vicia faba (fava bean), 309 nucleotides long. Lineage: Eukaryota; Viridiplantae; Streptophyta; Magnoliopsida; Fabales; Fabaceae. The record is from the annotation of a GenBank genome assembly.